Molecule: long non-coding RNA, 779 nt
Organism: Onychostoma macrolepis
Lineage: Eukaryota; Metazoa; Chordata; Actinopteri; Cypriniformes; Cyprinidae
Exons: 3
Source: RefSeq, a predicted model, not a curated record
GGGAUUUCUGCAGGUCUGAAAAUGACAGAAGCGUCGAGGGAGAAGCCUGUAACUGGUUGCCAUCGUGAAAUAGCUUGGUCGUGUUUUCUGAUAGCAUAAGCAACUUGGUCUUGGCCACGUUAAAGAUGGAAGUUACUAAUUUUAGAUCAAGAAUUUCAGCAAGAAGGACAGACCUAUGGCAGAUGGGCCUAAGCUUAGUGCAACAGGACACGCUCUUCCAGGAAAACUCCUUGUUGGCGUCUUGGGACACAGCAGCGCACAAAGCUUUCCAGGACUUAUCUGGAUGCCCAUCAGCCCACUUUGUGUAGCUCACGCUGUAUUCGCUAUCAUUGCUUUUCUGCCAGUACCACUCUGACGUGAAGAGAUUGCGCCGCAGACCGAUCCAGAGGUACCCGCGACUUCCAUUGUUUUGCAGAAAGUUGGUCAUCUCUUUUUGGGCCAUUUCACUGAUUGGUGUGCUCAGCUGGUAAGAUAUAUUUAGGCAGUAAUGAUGGGACUGGUGCCAUGUCAUGACAUCAGUAGUGGUCUUAAAUUGUGCAGAAUCUGCCAUACAGCCAUCACGAUCUGUGCGCACACAAACAUGGGUUAACAUAUUUCCAGUAUGCACUGUGAAUUUUGAUUUAUUCACCAUUUAAUGUAACUUCAAGUAGGAUGAUGUAAUGUAUAUUUGUCAGCAUUUUUCUUGGUCUUGCAUGAUUCAUCUGUGUAUGUUACUCCAAAGAUCAUUUGUGAUGUACAUUCAUAAGAAAAUGUCAGGAACAGAUUUUUUAAAUUAGUAU